AAGAAGUCGUCCAUCUCCUACAAUUAUAAAAUGAAUCAUUUUCUUAAAUAUAAUUUAGUCAUAGUAUAACAUCUGUUUAAAAUAAAGUAUGUGUAACUAACUUACAGGACAACCAGCAGACUGCAAUUUGAUAGAAACAGCUAUGUGUAACUAACUUACAGGACAACCAGCAGACUGCAAUUUGAUAGAAACAGCCGAAUGAAACCAUGGAAGAAGCCAAGAACUACUCCAGAAGCUUGUUUGAAAGUUAAUGGGUUAUCAAAGGAGACUGUGUUUGCC
This 279-nucleotide long non-coding RNA is filed under the name Gossypium barbadense (sea-island cotton). RNAcentral describes it as "long non-coding RNA (GBAR_LNC020231)". The record is from RNAcentral. Lineage: Eukaryota; Viridiplantae; Streptophyta; Magnoliopsida; Malvales; Malvaceae.